GGGACAGUGGCGGACGGGUGAGUAACGCGUGGGAACGUGCCCUUUGGUACGGAACAACUGAGGGAAACUUCAGCUAACACCGUAUGUGCCCUUCGGGGGAAAGAUUUAUCGCCAUUGGAGCGGCCCGCGUUAGAUUAGCUAGUUGGUGGGGUAAAGGCCUACCAAGGCAACGAUCUAUAGCUGGUCUGAGAGGAUGAUCAGCCACACUGGGACUGAGACACGGCCCAGACUCCUACGGGAGGCAGCAGUAGGGAAUCUUGCGCAAUGGGCGAAGGCCUGACGCAGCCAUGCCGCGUGAAUGAUGAAGGUCUUAGGAUUGUAAAAUUCUUUCACCGGGGACGAUAAUGACGGUACCCGGAGAAGAAGCCCCGGCUAACUUCGUGCCAGCAGCCGCGGUAAUACGAAGGGGGCUAGCGUUGCUCGGAAUUACUGGGCGUAAAGGGAGCGUAGGCGGAUAGUUUAGUCAGAGGUGAAAGCCCAGGGCUCAACCUUGGAAUUGCCUUUGAUACUGGCUAUCUUGAGUGUGGGAGAGGUAUGUGGAACUCCGAGUGUAGAGGUGAAAUUCGUAGAUAUUCGGAAGAACACCAGUGGCGAAGGCGACUACUGGCCCAUUACUGACGCUGAGGCUCGA
Molecule: ribosomal RNA, 631 nt
Filed under: uncultured Alphaproteobacteria bacterium
Lineage: Bacteria; Pseudomonadati; Pseudomonadota; Alphaproteobacteria
Description: bacterial SSU rRNA
Rfam family: Bacterial small subunit ribosomal RNA
Source: RNAcentral